AAUUUUGCAUUUUCAUGCAUUAAGUACUAUAUUAUAUAGUGAUGCUAGUCAUCUAUGGUGAUAAACCAUUCUUAGAAUAAGCGGAGCGGACCCGGGGGCGGUACCCGGCGUCUCCACCAUGAUUUAUGGGGACGAAAUAGGAUCGACGUACGUAGUAAAAAGGAAUGUUUUGCCCGGCCAUGAGUACCACCGUUAUCGGAACUCAAAUUAAUAGGUGCAAACAAUAAUCGCACUUCUGGACGCAAAACAACACGCCGCGUUGCUAAUAGCAACCGUCGCGUUCGUAGAGCUUUCGCAAUUGCUGCUUAAUUUAGGUUCUACCUAUAAAGCGCUUUAGCGGUCCGCGGUUUGGGGGCAGCCGGGCAACAGAAUGCCCCCACU
RNAcentral lists this transfer-messenger RNA (381 nucleotides) under Holosporales bacterium. It matches the Rfam family "Alphaproteobacteria transfer-messenger RNA". From Rfam's summary of the family: Bacterial tmRNA, also known as 10Sa RNA or SsrA, is named for its dual tRNA and mRNA-like properties. Its role is to liberate the mRNA from a stalled ribosome. Lineage: Bacteria; Pseudomonadati; Pseudomonadota; Alphaproteobacteria; Holosporales. The record is from RNAcentral.